Molecule: ribosomal RNA, 465 nt
Filed under: uncultured bacterium
Lineage: Bacteria
Description: partial 16S ribosomal RNA
Rfam family: Bacterial small subunit ribosomal RNA
Source: RNAcentral
GACGAACGCUGGCGGCGUGCUUAACACAUGCAAGUCGAACGGUAAGGCCCCUUCGGGGGUACACGCGUGGCGAACGGGUGCGUAACACGUGAGCAACCUGCCCUUGACUCUGGAAUAACAGCUGGAAACAGCUGCUAAUACUGGCAAUUCAUCGUCUCCUUCCUGGGGGGGGGUGGAAAGCUGCGGCGGUCAGGGAUGGGCUCGCGGCCAAUCAGCUUGUUGGUGGGGUAAUGGCUCACCAAGGCUUCGACGGGUAGCCGGCCUGAGAGGGGGGCCGGCCACACUGGGCCUGAGGUACGGCGCAGACUCCUACGGUAGACAGCAGUGGGGAAUAUUGCACAAUGGGCGCAAGCCUGAUGCAGCAACGCCGCGUGCGGGAUGACGGCCUUCGGGUUGUAAACCGCUUUCAGUAGGGACGAAGGGUGACUGACGGUACCUACAGAAGAAGGACCGGCUAACUACGUG